Molecule: long non-coding RNA, 1014 nt
Organism: Bos taurus (domestic cattle)
Lineage: Eukaryota; Metazoa; Chordata; Mammalia; Artiodactyla; Bovidae
Source: Ensembl
GUCUUGAGUGCUCCCAGUGACCAGCAGUGCAUGGGGUGGGGUGGGGCGGUCCCAGGAUUCAGAGUGCCGGGUGGUCUGCUAGCCCACUGCUAGCACGGGCUAUGGAUCCCCCUCAGGGGAGAGCUCAUCCUGAGGGAGGGAAGGCUGGAGGCAGAGAGGGUAGCACGGCUUGUCCUGUGACCCUGACACUACUUGGUGUGAGGCUCCUGUGCCUGGAAAGCGGGACUCACCAGGAUAAAGCCUGAGCUCCUCAGCAUGGUGCCCGAGGCUUGAUUGGGCCCCUGCCUUUCCCUCCCUCGAGCCGUCCUUAUCUGACCACUUACAGUCCCUGGCCUCUGCCUGAAUUUUCUCCUUCCCUGCCCUUCCUGCCUGGCGAUCACUUACACCAAUUCACCUGUUUUCGCUGGGCCCAGCAGAGUGCUUGGUAAAUGGCCAAAAAUGUGUAUGAAAAAAUGAACGAGUGGAAAGAGUAGGGGACUCACCUGGGACCCCCCAGUAUUCAAACCGUGACCCGUUUGGAGACCCAAGUCUCCAGCAUCAGUUGCGUGUGGUACUCAUGCCCUUCUCCUGAGUUUCUGCAAUCGCUGCUGGAGGGAUGGUGGCCACAAACACACAGCCCCAGGACGCCUGUGUCCAGCCAGCACUCACCUUGCCUGGGGCAGGCAGGCAGAAGGCAACCGGUACCCUCUCUCAGCCAGGGACCCUCUGCCGGUCACAGAGAUCUCAGCUCUGCCACUGGGCUGGGCCUCGCUGGUCACUCCUGGUUCUGUUUCCUGAGGAAUGAAAAUCCGACAAAGCCCAGAAAGCAUCACCAGCCAGUGUGAUGCCAGCCUCCUGCGGAGAGGCCACCAGGUGAAAUGUGUUUUGCUGCGUAUUCAAAUCCCCCGAGGGAGCUUCGAAAACUGCGGUGCCUGGCUUCAUCUCAUGGCAGAAUGGCUGGAGGUGGGACCCAGGAGUCAGUACUUAAAAUGCCCCAGAAAUGUGGAUGGACCGAGAGAGCAUCAUGCUUAGUGA